GACGAACGCUGGCGGCGUGCUUAACACAUGCAAGUCGAGCGAUGAAUUUUCUUCGGAAAUGGAUUAGCGGCGAACGGGUGAGGAACACGUGAAGAAUCUGCCCUCCACUUUGGGAUAACACAGGGAAACCUGUGCUAAUACCGGAUAUUGAAACAUAAGUGGCAUCACUGAGUUUUGAAAGAAUUUCGGUGGAGGAUGACUUCGCGGCCUAUCAGCUAGUUGGUGAGGUAAUGGCUCACCAAGGCAACGACGGGUAGCCGGCCUGAGAGGGCGACAGGCCACACUGGGACUGAGACACGGCCCAGACUCCUACGGGAGGCAGCAGUGGGGAAUAUUGGGCAAUGGAGGAAACUCUGACCCAGCGACGCCGCGUGCGGGAUGAAGGCCUUCGGGUUGUAAACCGCUUUCAGUAGGGAAGAAGCGAAAGUGACGGUACCUACAAAAGAAGCACCGGCUAACUAUGUGCCAGCCGCCGCGGUAA
This 481-nucleotide ribosomal RNA is filed under the name uncultured bacterium. Its description in RNAcentral is "partial 16S ribosomal RNA". It matches the Rfam family "Bacterial small subunit ribosomal RNA", at positions 28 to 523 of the family's 1533-position model. The record is from RNAcentral.